Molecule: ribosomal RNA, 519 nt
Filed under: uncultured bacterium
Lineage: Bacteria
Description: bacterial SSU rRNA
Rfam family: Bacterial small subunit ribosomal RNA
Source: RNAcentral
AAUAUACCCAGGUAGUCCACGCCGUAAACGAUGUCGAUUUGGAGGUUGUGCCCUUGAGGCGUGGCUUCCGGAGCUAACGCGUUAAAUCGACCGCCUGGGGAGUACGGCCGCAAGGUUAAAACUCAAAUGAAUUGACGGGGGGCCCGCACAAGCGGUGGAGCAUGUGGUUUAAUUCGAUGCAACGCGAAGAACCUUACCUGGUCUUGACAUCCACAGAACUUAGCAGAGAUGCUUUGGUGCCUUCGGGAACUGUGAGACAGGUGCUGCAUGGCUGUCGUCAGCUCGUGUUGUGAAAUGUUGGGUUAAGUCCCGCAACGAGCGCAACCCUUAUCCUUUGUUGCCAGCGGUUAGGCCGGGAACUCAAAGGAGACUGCCAGUGAUAAACUGGAGGAAGGUGGGGAUGACGUCAAGUCAUCAUGGCCCUUAUGACCAGGGCUACACACGUGCUACAAUGGCGCAUACAAAGAGAAGCGACCUCGCGAGAGCAAGCGGACCUCAUAAAGUGCGUCGUAGUCCGGA